RNAcentral lists this ribosomal RNA (393 nucleotides) under uncultured eukaryote. RNAcentral's name for it is "partial 18S ribosomal RNA". It matches the Rfam family "Eukaryotic small subunit ribosomal RNA", at positions 592 to 976 of the family's 1831-position model. The record is from RNAcentral.
CAAUAGCGUAUAUUAAAGUUGUUGCAGUUAAAAAGCUCGUAGUUGGAUUUCUGUUUUGGAUGUCCGGUCCGCUCCCUCUGGGAGUGCGUACUUAUGGAUGUUCGAGGCAUUUUUUGUGAGGUCGCUUUUCUGCCAUUAAGUUGGUGGUUUUGCGGGCUUGCAUCGUUUACUGUGAAAAAAUUAGAGUGUUUAAAGCAGGCGUUUGCUCAUUUGAAUACAUUAGCAUGGAAUAAUAAGAUACGGCCUUGGUGGUCUAUUUUGUUGGUUUGCACACCGGGGUAAUGAUUAAUAGGGACAGUUGGGGGUAUUCAUAUUUCAGCGUCAGAGGUGAAAUUCUUGGAUCGCUGAAAGAUGAGCUUAGGCGAAAGCAUUUACCAAGGAUGUUUUCAUUAA